GCGCUUAGAAGUGAGAAUGCCGGUAUGAGUAGCGAAAGAGGGGUGAGAAUCCCCUCCACCGAAUGCCUAAGGUUUCCUGAGGAAGGCUCGUCCGCUCAGGGUUAGUCGGGACCUAAGCCGAGGCCGAAAGGCGUAGGCGAUGGACAACAGGUUGAUAUUCCUGUACCACCUCCUCACCAUUUGAGCAAUGGGGGGACGCAGGAGGAUAGGGUAAGCGCGGUAUUGGAUAUCCGCGUCCAAGCAGUUAG
Molecule: ribosomal RNA, 248 nt
Filed under: Plesiomonas shigelloides
Lineage: Bacteria; Pseudomonadati; Pseudomonadota; Gammaproteobacteria; Enterobacterales; Enterobacteriaceae
Description: partial 23S ribosomal RNA
Rfam family: Bacterial large subunit ribosomal RNA
Source: RNAcentral